UAAAAGCGCUGAAAUCGCAUGAAAUAAUGCGAUUUUGGGUAAUCGGGAGGGCUUUUAUGCAAUUUGAUUUGUCGUAGCUGCUGUUGGCAGCAUGGGUGAGCUGUGGGUGACCUCUGGACUGAUGGUCCAAGGCCCCGGACCUUUGCGAAGAUCGGAAAUGUAUUUCCGGUGCGUUUGUCGGCAAAAUCCGCCGACGGAACGCGGUUUUGGUUCGGAAUUAUUCCGACGGUGCUUCGUGAGUUAUUGUGUGGUUGCUGAGCCUCAUUGGCUGGUCACUCGCAUCAUUUCGAGAGUUUAGAAAUGACGGGUGAGCGACGGUGGGUUCCGGUGUCGAAAUAGACACUUCCGGGAACCCGGUUCGGAACGAUUAUCCGACGAUAAUCGUUUUGGAGUGAGUUAAGGUCUUUGCUGCCAAGUCACAUGUAAAUUGUAUUUAGUGGCAGCGGGUGACUCGUAGUACGAGUCGGUGAGUUCCGGGACAGUCCGUGGGUCCCGGCAGAGUCUCGGUGCGGUUU
This 515-nucleotide long non-coding RNA is filed under the name Ananas comosus (pineapple). Its description in RNAcentral is "long non-coding RNA (ACOM_LNC042051)". Lineage: Eukaryota; Viridiplantae; Streptophyta; Magnoliopsida; Poales; Bromeliaceae. The record is from RNAcentral.